RNAcentral lists this ribosomal RNA (138 nucleotides) under uncultured bacterium. Its description in RNAcentral is "partial 16S ribosomal RNA". It matches the Rfam family "Bacterial small subunit ribosomal RNA", at positions 388 to 538 of the family's 1533-position model. The record is from RNAcentral.
CCAGCGACGCCGCGUGAGGGAAGAAGGUUCUCGGAUUGUAAACCUCUGUUCUUGGUGAAGAGAAGAAGACGGUAGCCAAGGAGGAAGCCCCGGCUAACUACGUGCCAGCAGCCGCGGUAAUAAUAAAAGCCGUGGUAA